Molecule: ribosomal RNA, 292 nt
Filed under: uncultured bacterium
Lineage: Bacteria
Description: partial 16S ribosomal RNA
Rfam family: Bacterial small subunit ribosomal RNA
Source: RNAcentral
GUGCCAGCCGCCGCGGUAAUACAGAGGUCCCAAGCGUUGUUCGGAUUUACUGGGCGUAAAGGGAGCGUAGGUGGCAGAUUAAGUCUGACGUGAAAGCUCUGAGCUUAACUCAGAAAUGGCGUUAGAUACUAGUUUGCUUGAGGAUUGGAGGGGAGAUUGGAAUUCUCGGUGUAGCAGUGAAAUGCGUAGAUAUCGAGAGGAACACCAGUGGCGAAGGCGAAUCUCUGGACAAUUCCUGACACUGAUGCUCGAAAGCUAGGGGAGCAAACGGGAUUAGAUACCCCAGUAGUCC